This 773-nucleotide ribosomal RNA is filed under the name uncultured Neocallimastigales. Its description in RNAcentral is "partial large subunit ribosomal RNA". It matches the Rfam family "Eukaryotic large subunit ribosomal RNA", at positions 23 to 620 of the family's 3401-position model. Lineage: Eukaryota; Fungi; Neocallimastigomycota; Neocallimastigomycetes; Neocallimastigales. The record is from RNAcentral.
AGAGAGAGACAUGCGCGCAUAUCAAUAAGCGGAGGAAAAGAAACUAACAAGGAUUCCCUUAGUAACGGCGAGUGAAGCGGGAAGAGCUCAAAUUUGAAAUCUUCAAGGUUUUACCUUGACGAAUUGUAGUUUAAAGAAGUGUUUUCUGCUGAAGUUUUGGUAAAAGUUCUUUGGAAUAGGACAUCAUAGAGGGUGAGAAUCCCGUAUUUGACCAUUAUUUUCAGCUUUGUGAUACACUUUCAAAGAGUCGGAUUGUUUGGAAUGCAGUCCAAAAUGGGUGGUAAAUUUCAUCUAAAGCUAAAUAUUGGCGAGAGACCGAUAGCGAACAAGUACCGUGAGGGAAAGAUGAAAAGAACUUUGAAAAGAGAGUUAAACAGUACGUGAAAUUGUCAAAAGGGAAGCGUUUGACACCAGUGUUGUUUUCUCGAAAAUCAAUUAAAAAUGGCUCGAUUUUGUAUUGCUUGAGACCUUAAAAGCUCACUGUACAUUUUUCGUGUCUUUUUUAAUGCACUUUUCGUUUAACAAGUCAACAUCAGUUUCUUUUGUUGUAAAAGGGUCAUUGGAAGGUGGCUUUCUUUUCGGAGAAAGUGUUUAUAGCCUUUGGCCUCUGCAAUCGAGAGACUGAGGUCUGCAGCGUAGACUCUUCGGGGUUAGAUACAUUUGUGCUAAGUUAUAGCUUUUUAUAGACAACUUGUUGACUAUAAUUAGUCUUGUAGCUUACUCGCUUAUGCUAUUAUACCUACGCUUAGGAUGUUGAAGAUGUAGCACAUCAU